UGGCAAUGAUGAUAAACUUCGUGGUUGAGUUUCAGUGAUUAUUCUAUACGCUAUUCUGAGUCAACU
Molecule: small nucleolar RNA, 66 nt
Organism: Sarcophilus harrisii (Tasmanian devil)
Lineage: Eukaryota; Metazoa; Chordata; Mammalia; Dasyuromorphia; Dasyuridae
Gene: SNORD54
Product: small nucleolar RNA, C/D box 54
Source: Ensembl